GGGAUCCGGGCUUUCGGGUKUGGUGAGAGUGGCGAACGGGUGAGUAACACGUGAGUKACCUGCCCCCUUCUUUGGGAUAACGUCGGGAAAUCGGCGCUAAUACUGGAUAUUCUUGCUGCAUCGCAUGGUGUGGUUUGGAAAGGGUUUCUGGUGGGGGAUGGGCUCGCGGCCUAUCAGCUUGUUGGUGGGGUGAUGGCCUACCAAGGCUUUGACGGGUAGCCGGCCUGAGAGGGUGUCCGGCCACACUGGGACUGAGACACGGCCCAGACUCCUACGGGAGGCAGCAGUGGGGAAUAUUGCACAAUGGGCGCAAGCCUGAUGCAGCGACGCCGCGUGAGGGAUGACGGCCUUCGGGUUGUAAACCUCUUUCAGUAUGGAACAAGGAUCCUUCUUUUGGGGGGUUUGAGGGUACGUGCAGAAGAAGCGCCGGCUAACUACGUGCCAGCAGCCGCGGUAAUACGUAGGGCGCGAGCGUUGUCCGGAUUUAUUGGGCGUAAAGAGCUCGUAGGCGGUUUGUCGCGUCUGCCGUGAAAUUUCCUGGCUUAACUGGGAGCGUGCGGUGGGUACGGGCAGACUGGAGUGCGGUAGGGGAGACUGGAAUUCCUGGUGUAGCGGUGGAAUGCGCAGAUAUCAGGAGGAACACCGGUGGCGAAGGCGGGUCUCUGGGCCGUUACUGACGCUGAGGAGCGAAAGCAUGGGGAGCGAACAGGAUUAGAUACCCUGGUAGUCCAUGCUGUAAACGUUGGGAACUAGGUGUGGGGUCCAUUUCCACGGAUUCUGCGCCGUAGCUAACGCAUUAAGUUCCCCGCCUGGGGAGUACGGCCGCAAGGCUAAAACUCAAAGGAAUUGACGGGGGCCCGCACAAGCGGCGGAGCAUGCGGAUUAAUUCGAUGCAACGCGAAGAACCUUACCAAGGCUUGACAUACAUUCGUAGUUCCCAGAGAUGGGGGUGCCGUAAGGCGGGUGUACAGGUGGUGCAUGGUUGUCGUCAGCUCGUGUCGUGAGAUGUUGGGUUAAGUCCCGCAACGAGCGCAACCCUUGUUCCAUGUUGCCAGCGGGUUAUGCCGGGGACUCAUGGGAGACUGCCGGGGUCAACUCGGAGGAAGGUGGGGAUGACGUCAAAUCAUCAUGCCCCUUAUGUCUUGGGCUUCACGCAUGCUACAAUGGCCGGUACAGAGGGUUGCGAUCUCGUGAGGGUGAGCGAAUCCCGUAAAGCCGGUCUCAGUUCGGAUUGGGGUCUGCAGCUCGACCCCAUGAAGUUGGAGUCGCUAGUAAUCGCAGAUCAGCAACGCUGCGGUGAAUACGUUCUCGGGCCUUGUACACACCGCCCGUCACGUCACGAAAGUCGGUAACACCCGAAGCUCAUGGCCUAACCGUUUUUGCGCGGGGAGUGGUCGAAGGUGGGGCUGGUGAUGCGG
RNAcentral lists this ribosomal RNA (1418 nucleotides) under uncultured bacterium. RNAcentral describes it as "bacterial SSU rRNA". It matches the Rfam family "Bacterial small subunit ribosomal RNA". The record is from RNAcentral.